GGCGGAAGAGGCUGACAGGAAAGGAGACCGCCCCGCCGCUUUACUAUGAGGCAGCCCGUCACCCGCCGCACCCUUGAAUGGAUCUAUUCUGGGAUGCUUAUUACAGUUGUGUUACUUUCAUGGGGAUAUGUUAUCUAUGCAACAAGACUAGCAGCUCACUGGGAGCUAGAAAAGGAAGACUUCAGUAUGAAAGAAGCUGGAUAACUGCCCUGAGCUUAACGCAUCUUCUGUACCCCAUUCAAUAAAGUUUGCUUCAGAAUAUGCCUUUAGGAGUUACAUUGCAUCGUAAUAAAAAACUACUUUAA
Long non-coding RNA from Tachyglossus aculeatus (Australian echidna), 305 nucleotides. RefSeq lists it as uncharacterized. The record is from RefSeq and is a predicted model, not a curated record. The transcript has 2 exons. NCBI's taxonomy places the organism in Eukaryota, Metazoa, Chordata, Mammalia, Monotremata, Tachyglossidae.